CCUACGGGCGGCAGCAGUGAGGAAUAUUGGUCAAUGGACGAGAGUCUGAACCAGCAAAGUAGCGUGAAGGAUGACUGCCCUAUGGGUUGUAAACUUCUUUUAUAUGGGAAUAAAAUGUUCCACGUGUGGGAUUUUGUAUGUACCAUAUGAAUAAGGAUCGGCUAACUCCGUGCCAGCAGCCGCGGUAAUACGGAGGAUCCGAGCGUUAUCCGGAUUUAUUGGGUUUAAUGGGAGCGUAGGUGGAUUGUUAAGUCAGUUGUGAAAGUUUGCGGCUCAACCGUAAAAUUGCAGUUGAAACUGGCAGUCUUGAGUACAGUAGAGGUGGGCGGAAUUCGUGGUGUAGCGGUGAAAUGCUUAGAUAUCACGAAGAACUCCGAUUGCGAAGGCAGUUCACUGGACUGCAACUGACACUGAGGCUCGAAAGUGUGGGUAUCAAACAGGAUUAGAUACCCCUGUAGUC
Molecule: ribosomal RNA, 460 nt
Filed under: uncultured bacterium
Lineage: Bacteria
Description: partial 16S ribosomal RNA
Rfam family: Bacterial small subunit ribosomal RNA
Source: RNAcentral